AGGGGCGUCGUCAAGCGGUAAGACUCCUGCCUUUGGAGCAGGCAUUCGUUGGUUCGAAUCCAGCCGCCCCUG
RNAcentral lists this transfer RNA (72 nucleotides) under Fibrobacterota bacterium. RNAcentral describes it as "Fibrobacteres bacterium (bioreactor metagenome) tRNA-Gln". It matches the Rfam family "tRNA". From Rfam's summary of the family: Transfer RNA (tRNA) molecules are approximately 80 nucleotides in length. Their secondary structure includes four short double-helical elements and three loops (D, anti-codon, and T loops). Lineage: Bacteria; Pseudomonadati; Fibrobacterota. The record is from RNAcentral.